CUUCUGUCUGUUCCAGAGGCCCAGCUGAAAGCUAAAUGGGACAGAGCAGGUGCAGUUUUUCAGUGCCUUGAUUGUGGUGAAAAACAAGAUUUUUAAAAACCUGUAUGCUGCAAAACAUUUUGACACAUGUUGAAGCUGGUGAGACUUUGUGAUUUGUGCACACAUCGCUGGACAGUGAUGGACCUCUCACGGCAACAUUUAGCACUACAAGACCAGCAUCUGGAGACAAUGGAUGUUUUAUAGAAUAGACUUUACUGCUGCUGAUUACCAGGUUUGCGAGUGUCCGCUGCUGUGAAACUACAGAGAAGCCUGAUUUAUUGCAGCAUUUGCUGCAGUGACUGCGUAAUA
Molecule: long non-coding RNA, 348 nt
Organism: Micropterus dolomieu (smallmouth bass)
Lineage: Eukaryota; Metazoa; Chordata; Actinopteri; Centrarchiformes; Centrarchidae
Exons: 3
Source: RefSeq, a predicted model, not a curated record